Molecule: ribosomal RNA, 476 nt
Filed under: uncultured Methanolinea sp.
Lineage: Archaea; Methanobacteriati; Methanobacteriota; Methanomicrobia; Methanomicrobiales; Methanoregulaceae
Description: bacterial SSU rRNA
Rfam family: Archaeal small subunit ribosomal RNA
Source: RNAcentral
GGAAUUGACGGGGAGCACCACAACGGGUGGAGCCUGCGGUUAAUUGGACUCAACGCCGGGCAGCUCACCGGAUAAGACAGCUGGAUGAUAGCCGGGCUGAAGACUCUGCUUGACUAGCUGAGAGAGGUGCAUGGCCGUCGUCAGUUUCGUACUGUGAAGCAUCCUGUUAAGUCAGGCAACGAGCGAGACCCACGCCCACAGUUGCCAGCGUACUCUCCGGAGUGACGGGUACACUGUGGGGACCGCCGCUGCUAAAGCGGAGGAAGGAAUGGGCAACGGUAGGUCAGUAUGCCCCGAAUAUCCCGGGCUACACGCGAGCUACAAUGGUUGGUACAAUGGGUAUCUACCCCGAAAGGGGACGGGAAUCUCCUAAAACCAAUCUUAGUUCGGAUUGAGGGCUGCAACUCGCCCUCAUGAAGCUGGAAUCCGUAGUAAUCGCGUUUCAACAGAACGCGGUGAAUACGUCCCUGCUCCUU